RNAcentral lists this ribosomal RNA (362 nucleotides) under Euastacus bispinosus (Glenelg cray). RNAcentral's name for it is "eukaryotic LSU rRNA". It matches the Rfam family "Eukaryotic large subunit ribosomal RNA", at positions 1252 to 1582 of the family's 3401-position model. The record is from RNAcentral. Lineage: Eukaryota; Metazoa; Arthropoda; Malacostraca; Decapoda; Parastacidae.
CCAUGGAAGUCGGAAUCCGCUAAGGAGUGUGUAACAACUCACCUGCCGAAGCAACUAGCCCUUAAAAUGGUAUGGCGCUGAAGCAUUCUCCCGAUACUCGACCGCCGGGGCACUAGCGGCCACGCCCCAGAGGCGAGGUCUCGAAGCCCCGGUGAGUAAGAGGGUCGCAGUGGUGAGCGCUGAAGGGAUCCGGCGUGAGCCGGCCUGGAGCCGCCACUGGUGCAGAUCUUGGUGGUAGUAGCAAAUACUCGAGAGAGACUCCCUCGAAGACCGAUGUGGAGAAGGGUUCCAUGUGAACAUCAGUUGGACAUGGGUUAGUCGCUCCUAAGCCCAAGGCUAAGGCCUGAUCCCAUGCUAGCGGC